This 628-nucleotide ribosomal RNA is filed under the name Bacillus subtilis. RNAcentral describes it as "bacterial SSU rRNA". It matches the Rfam family "Bacterial small subunit ribosomal RNA", at positions 55 to 664 of the family's 1533-position model. The record is from RNAcentral. Lineage: Bacteria; Bacillati; Bacillota; Bacilli; Caryophanales; Bacillaceae.
AAGUCAAGUCGAGCGGACAGAUGGGAGCUUGCUCCCUGAUGUUAGCGGCGGACGGGUGAGUAACACGUGGGUAACCUGCCUGUAAGACUGGGAUAACUCCGGGAAACCGGGGCUAAUACCGGAUGCUUGUUUGAACCGCAUGGUUCAAACAUAAAAGGUGGCUUCGGCUACCACUUACAGAUGGACCCGCGGCGCAUUAGCUAGUUGGUGAGGUAACGGCUCACCAAGGCAACGAUGCGUAGCCGACCUGAGAGGGUGAUCGGCCACACUGGGACUGAGACACGGCCCAGACUCCUACGGGAGGCAGCAGUAGGGAAUCUUCCGCAAUGGACGAAAGUCUGACGGAGCAACGCCGCGUGAGUGAUGAAGGUUUUCGGAUCGUAAAGCUCUGUUGUUAGGGAAGAACAAGUACCGUUCGAAUAGGGCGGUACCUUGACGGUACCUAACCAAAAAGCCACGGCUAACUACGUGCCACCAGCCGCGGUAAUACGUAGGUGGCAAGCGUUGUCCGGAAUUAUUGGGCGUAAAGGGCUCGCACGCGGUUUCUUAAGUCUGAUGUGAAAGCCCCCGGCUCAACCGCGGAGGGUCAUUGGAAACUGGGGAACUUGAGUGCAUAAGAGGAGAGUGG